This 2767-nucleotide long non-coding RNA is filed under the name Citrus sinensis (sweet orange). RNAcentral describes it as "long non-coding RNA (CSIN_LNC001531)". Lineage: Eukaryota; Viridiplantae; Streptophyta; Magnoliopsida; Sapindales; Rutaceae. The record is from RNAcentral.
UUUGACAUCAGAUUGUCACUUAAGGCAGUGUGAUCAUGCAGCAGGUUUUAUUUUUCCUUUUUUGGAGGUCGAUGCUGAUUCCAAAACAACUUGAUCACAACUACAAUCUUUGAUAAGCAUAGGCACCAUAUGACUACCCAUCCUUUAUUGCCUUCCAAAAUUGGCAAAGGAGCAGGAAAUUGAUCUCGCUUGUUUUAGUUUAAUGUUUAAUAUUUUAUUUUUGGUAUGCUUAUCUCAUGUCAUAAUCAUAAAAUAUGUUCUAGGUUUCUGUGAGACCUCUUGUCAUUGAAAAAAAAAAUGCAAGACCGACAAAUGAAUAAGUAGAACUGCUUAUUGGUGUAGCCAGUAGUAGAACUCUUCUAUCACACACUUUUUGGUUCAUAUUUAUGCAUAUUUAUUUAUGUCACCUUACACAGUUUGGUCUUAUAAUUUGUUUGUUCGUUGUUUCUUUGGAAUGAGAUAAUGAUUUUUUUUUCUCUCAUGUUCUGCUGUACGGCCAAGUAGAUUUUGGCUUUUCCUACCCCAAAAUCAGUUGAAAACAACUAUUAUUUAUUUUUUACACCUCUUUAAAAUCCUUAUAUAACCCCAUUUUUGUGAAAAUGGUUAUUUUGCUGUUGGAAUCAGAAAAUUAUGAAUUUUUAAAAUCUUUACAUUUGUAAUUUAUGAACCCUCCCAUCUUUAAAUCUUAAUUUAUGAUAUAAUUAUUUUUUAUAAAUUUAAAAAAAUUUCAGAUAAUGAAGAAAUGAAUUACUUAAUGAUAAUAUUUUUAUUUUUAAAAAAUUACAUUUAAAAUUUGAUUAGUAUAAUGUUUUACCAUGUUUUGCAAUUUUCAUAAUUGUAACGCCUAUAAAUAAAAUAACGGGAUUUUGUGAGAGUUUUAAAGGGGUGUUCGGAGUAAGGAUUACAAAUUUCCUUGGAGGUCCCCAAACCUGUGGGUAUCCGGUUCAUUUGACUCGGAUAUAGGCCUCCAAAAUGGUUUAAAAAAAUUUCAGGUCUGAUUUUGGAACAGACUCGAACCCUAUUUUUAUUUCGGGUAGGGUUCAGGGAUUUCAUUAGGCCCUCGAACCCGACCCAUUUUGAAAAUGAACAAACAUUUGAUUAUUUGAACUGCCUUUAGUUUAAAAUUGACUAAAACAAAAUUCGCCGAGUUCCUCUUUUGUGUCAUCUCAACACUCUCGUCAGCUCUCCAUAAGAAAUUGACUACCGCCGACUGCACAGACAAGUUACUGUUUGCUUUGAUCUUGUUCUUUCUUUUGCUGAUAGUUGAAACUUUGUUGGAUCAGUUCGUAAAUGAAUUUUCUUAGAAAUUGUGGAGGAUUUGAAUAAUUUAACGAAUUUUUUUUUCAAAUUUCUUACUUUAUAUUUCCUCUUUCAUGUGAUUUGAUGUUUAACUUGAUUUGUGAAACUGCUGCUUGAAAGUUGAAUACACAUACACAUUGAAUGAAACAUUUAAACUGGUGCAGAUUUAGAAAACGAGAAGAAAUUUAAAUCAGAAAAUUUUUCUCUCCUUAUCUUGUUCACAAGUUUUCUUAUAUUCACAAAUAAUUGUGAUGUUUAUUUUGUUCAGUAGCUUGGAAUUAUCUAUUUUUUUAUUGAAAAAAACUAGGGAAUGCGCACCAUUAUACUUCGCCACCGCAUUUGGAAAUUUUCAGAGAUAUCUUUUAUUUAGCCCCGCGCUUUAAAAUUCGGGUAUGGGGCAGAUUUUCGGAUCACGGGGAUCCGAUGAAGUUUGUAGGUGCCCCAAAAACUGAACAGCAGAAGAGGAAGCACCAUGACCAAGAAUCAAAAGAGGAGAAGAGAGAACGGAAGGUAUUUAUGUGUUAUUCCGGAUUUCACUGUAUAUUUUUGUGCAUUUGCCACAUAGUAGUAUGCGUUAUUGUUUGUGGACAGUCUUCUUGCUUUUUUCAAGAUGCUUGCAAAAUUUAAAAUCUUGUCUUAGGUUGAUGUUGUUUAUCUAUGUACGCUUAAAUGUGAUUUGAUAAGGACAUGUACCGCACGCAGACUGCAGUGAACGAGAGAUGACGUGGAGCUCAGUGAGCUAAAAAAGAAAUAAAUGAGCUGUAUAGGUGUGAAGCGCAGCGUGCUCAAAAUGUUAUCGCUAUCUCUUGGUCGUCUUCCAUUCAUCUGAUGUAAGUAUUUUGAUCAUCAAAUGUUCUUUCAAUGCAUCAUGAAUAAGAAAUUUGGAUGAAUAUUCUUUUGGAUUAUUUAAUAUCAAAGGAGAUUGUGUUUGUGAAGCUUGAUUGAAUAAUGCUCUAAUAAUCAAUUGAUUAGAAAAUUGAUUGCUCAUUUGUUUUAAAAUAGGUGAAAUUUGACAUCAGAUUGUCACUUAAGGCAGUGUGAUCAUGCAGCAGGUUUUAUUUUUCCUUUUUUGGAGGUCGAUGCUGAUUCCAAAACAACUUGAUCACAACUACAAUCUUUGAUAAGCAUAGGCACCAUAUGACUACCCAUCCUUUAUUGCCUUCCAAAAUUGGCAAAGGAGCAGGAAAUUGAUCUCGCUUGUUUUAGUUUAAUGUUUAAUAUUUUAUUUUUGGUAUGCUUAUCUCAUGUCAUAAUCAUAAAAUAUGUUCUAGGUUUCUGUGAGACCUCUUGUCAUUGAAAAAAAAAAUGCAAGACCGACAAAUGAAUAAGUAGAACUGCUUAUUGGUGUAGCCAGUAGUAGAACUCUUCUAUCACACACUUUUUGGUUCAUAUUUAUGCAUAUUUAUUUAUGUCACCUUACACAGUUUGGUCUUAUAAUUUGUUUGUUCGUUGUUUCUUUGGAAUGAGA